UAAAGGCUGUGCUAGAGGGAGUGGGAGGCCUGCUGAGAGAGAGGGCAGGCCAUAUAUUCCCAGGCCUGCCUGCUCUAGGGCCACGCUGCAAGCCUGUGUCUUGAUUGCCAACUUCAGUGCCAAGAUACAUGGCAGCUGUUCCGGAGUCAAUGCCGUAGCAGCGCCCAGCUGCAGGAUGAGGCGGGGCUGCAUGAGUAUGCUGAACCUACACCCGGCCCCAACUUGACAAAGGACAGAGAGAAGCUUCGUCUGGAUGCGCUCGACAUGCCCGGGCUUUACCGAGGCGUUCUCUGAUUGUGUCAGCCAGUGACUUGCAUACAUGAUGCUGCAGCACGUGUGCAGAGGUCAGAAGACAAAGUGUGGGAGCUGGUUCUCUUCUACUGCGUGGAUUCCAGGGAUCGAACUGAACUCGGUCAACACACUUGGCUGUCUCACCAGCUCUCUUGUCUUUCUCUG
Long non-coding RNA from Mus musculus (house mouse), 456 nucleotides. RefSeq annotates it as predicted gene, 33098. The record is from RefSeq and is a predicted model, not a curated record. Lineage: Eukaryota; Metazoa; Chordata; Mammalia; Rodentia; Muridae. The transcript is spliced from 3 exons.